RNAcentral lists this ribosomal RNA (414 nucleotides) under Mortierella sp. 6745-R4. RNAcentral describes it as "eukaryotic LSU rRNA". The stretch from base 1 to 114 matches the Rfam family "5.8S ribosomal RNA", at positions 41 to 154 of the family's 154-position model. The record is from RNAcentral. Lineage: Eukaryota; Fungi; Mortierellomycota; Mortierellomycetes; Mortierellales; Mortierellaceae.
GAACGCAGCGAAAUGCGAUACGUAAUGUGAAUUGCAGAAUUCAGUGAAUCAUCGAAUCUUUGAACGCAUAUUGCGCUCUUUGGUAUUCCGAAGAGCAUGCUUGUUUGAGUAUCAGUAAACACCUCAAAGUCUUUUUUUCUUGAAGAAAAGACUUUGGACUUGAGCAAUCCCAACUCUUCCUUUCAGAAGAGGCGGGUUGCUUGAAAUGCAGGUGCAGCUGGACAUUCUCCUGAGCUAAAAGCAUAUUCAUUUAGUCCCGUCAAACGGAUUAUUACUUUUGCUGCAGCUAACAUAAAGGGAGUUUGACCAUUUUGGCUGACUGAUGCAGGAUUUUCACAAGAGUCUUCAAAACGCUCUUGUUAAACUCGAUCUCAAAUCAAGUAAGACUACCCGCUGAACUUAAGCAUAUCAAUA